This 90-nucleotide transfer RNA is filed under the name Rhodocyclaceae bacterium. Its description in RNAcentral is "tRNA-Ser". It matches the Rfam family "tRNA". From Rfam's summary of the family: Transfer RNA (tRNA) molecules are approximately 80 nucleotides in length. Their secondary structure includes four short double-helical elements and three loops (D, anti-codon, and T loops). The record is from RNAcentral. RNAcentral also lists the same sequence under 5 other names. Lineage: Bacteria; Pseudomonadati; Pseudomonadota; Betaproteobacteria; Rhodocyclales; Rhodocyclaceae.
GGAGAGGUGGAUGAGCGGUUUAAGUCGCACGCCUGGAAAGCGUGUUUAGGUGUAAGCCUAACGCGGGUUCGAAUCCCGCCCUCUCCGCCA